Molecule: long non-coding RNA, 74 nt
Organism: Maniola jurtina (meadow brown)
Lineage: Eukaryota; Metazoa; Arthropoda; Insecta; Lepidoptera; Nymphalidae
Exons: 3
Source: RefSeq, a predicted model, not a curated record
CAGGUGUCCCACCGCCGACGAGGAAGCGACUAGCUAUAAACCAUUUUCUAGCUCAAGAAACUAAAAUUCGAAGU